This 683-nucleotide ribosomal RNA is filed under the name uncultured organism. Its description in RNAcentral is "bacterial SSU rRNA". It matches the Rfam family "Bacterial small subunit ribosomal RNA", at positions 56 to 715 of the family's 1533-position model. The record is from RNAcentral.
UGCAAGUCGAACGAGAAAGCCCCUCCGGGGGUGAGUAGAGUGGCGCACGGGUGAGUAACGCGUGGAUAAUCUACCUAUGAGUUUGGGAUAACUUCGCGAAAGUGGAGCUAAUACCGGAUGGUCUGUCGAUUAUACCUUGAUUGACGGUAAAGAUAGCCUCUUCUUGAAAGCUAUUGCUUGUAGAUGAGUCCGCGUCUCAUUAGCUUGUUGGUAGGGUAACGGCCUACCAAGGCGACGAUGAGUAACUGGUCUGAGAGGAUGAUCAGUCACACUGGAACUGAAACACGGUCCAGACUCCUACGGGAGGCAGCAGUGGGGAAUAUUGGGCAAUGGGCGCAAGCCUGACCCAGCAACGCCGUGUGAGGGAUGAAGGUCUUCGGAUUGUAAACCUCUGUCAGAAGGGAAGAAGUGCAAGUGGUCCAAUAGGCCAUUUGUUUGACGGUACCUUCAGAGGAAGCACCGGCUAACUCCGUGCCAGCAGCCGCGGUAAUACGGAGGGUGCAAGCGUUAUUCGGAAUUACUGGGCGUAAAGCGUGCGUAGGCGGCGAGGUAAGUCAGGUGUGAAAUCCCACGGCUCAACCGUGGAACUGCACUUGAAACUGCUUUGCUUGAGUACUUGGAGGGGAUGGCGGAAUUCCUGGUGUAGGAGUGAAAUCCGUAGAUAUCAGGAGGAACACCGGUGG